This is a long non-coding RNA of Poeciliopsis prolifica (blackstripe livebearer), 469 nucleotides long. RefSeq lists it as uncharacterized. The transcript has 3 exons. NCBI's taxonomy places the organism in Eukaryota, Metazoa, Chordata, Actinopteri, Cyprinodontiformes, Poeciliidae. The record is from RefSeq and is a predicted model, not a curated record.
GGGAAAUCCCGAGGACAUCCGGACCAUGACGACACUCGCCGCCUGGAUGGAGCUUCAGGAAUAUUUUUGGAUUUUAGUUGAACAUGGAGGCAAACAGGUGAUUUCUGUUCCUUACUUGCUGUAACAAACUGCUGCAGUGAGGAAGCUCAGCUGUGCAGGAUGGACACCAAGUGAAUUUCAACACGGGUCAGUAGACAUGUAAUAGAAGACGGAUGGACACAGCCAGGGCUGGAUUUGUCCUACGUCCUAAACAAUCAAGAACCGGUUUGGCCCCUCGACACUGGAGGAAACGGCAACCACAGAAGAAGACGUGCGCACAACUUCCUCCGUCACAAAAUGGAAACGAAAAUGGAUUCGCAUCAGUUUUUAGCGGUUGUAGGAUUUCUCCUAUGUCUUUGAUUAAAAACACCACAAGCCUUUUCUCCUUCUACCCUCUAGUACUUACCCAGAAUGCCCUGUGCCAUCGUCC